AGAGUUUGAUCAUGGCUCAGAAUGAACGUUGGCGGCGUGGAUUAGGCAUGCAAGUCGAACGGGUCCGGCCUUCGGGCCGGGCCAGUGGCGCAAGGGUGAGUAAGGCGACGGUAACCAACCCCAUGGUCGGGUAUAGCCGCGGGAAACUGCGGGUAAUCCCCAGCGACGUCGGGGGCCGGCAUCGGCCCGCGACCAAAGCUCCGGCGCCGUGGGACGGGCCGUCGUGGUAUUAGCUAGUUGGCGGGGUAACGGCCCACCAAGGCUGUGAUGCCUACCGGGCGUGCGAGCGUGGCCCGGCACACUGGGACUGAGACACUGCCCAGACUCCUACGGGAGGCUGCAGUCGAGAAUCUUCGGCAAUGGGCGCAAGCCUGACCGAGCGACGCCGCGUGGAGGACGAAGGCCUUCGGGUUGUAAACUCCUGUCGAGGGGGAGGAAGGGGAGACCUUGACCGAUCCCUGGAGGAAGCACGGGCUAAGUUCGUGCCAGCAGCCGCGGUAAUAC
RNAcentral lists this ribosomal RNA (504 nucleotides) under uncultured bacterium. RNAcentral's name for it is "bacterial SSU rRNA". It matches the Rfam family "Bacterial small subunit ribosomal RNA", at positions 8 to 526 of the family's 1533-position model. The record is from RNAcentral.